Molecule: ribosomal RNA, 425 nt
Filed under: uncultured Oscillospiraceae bacterium
Lineage: Bacteria; Bacillati; Bacillota; Clostridia; Eubacteriales; Oscillospiraceae
Description: bacterial SSU rRNA
Rfam family: Bacterial small subunit ribosomal RNA
Source: RNAcentral
UGGGGAAUAUUGGGCAAUGGGCGAAAGCCUGACCCAGCGACGCCGCGUGAGGGAAGAAGGUCUUCGGAUUGUAAACCUUAGUUAGCAGGGAAGAAGAAAGUGACGGUACCUGCAGAGAAAGCCACGGCUAACUACGUGCCAGCAGCCGCGGUAAUACGUAGGUGGCGAGCGUUAUCCGGAAUUACUGGGUGUAAAGGGUGUGUAGGCGGGCAAACAAGUCAGAUGUGAAAACUAUGGGCUUAACCCAUAGCCUGCAUUUGAAACUGUAUGUCUUGAGGAUGGGAGAGGUAAAUGGAAUUCCCGGUGUAGCGGUGAAAUGCAUAGAUAUUAGGAGGAACAUCGGUGGCGAAGGCGGCUUUCUGGACUGACACUGACGCUGAGGCUCGAAAGCGUGGGGAGCAAACAGGAUUAGAUACCCUGGUAGU